GCCAAAGUAACUUUGAACUGAGUUCAGUCAAUCUCGAGUUUUUCGAAGUUUUCUGAAUGAAGUUUUCUGUUGCUCUCUGUGAGAGAAGACCGUUAAAGGCGAGGCUCUCCAGAGUGUAGCAAAACAGGAAACCACAGCUGUGUGUGCGUAAGUGUGCAAACGAAUAGAUUAGAAGUGCAAGUGAGCCACGAGUAUAGAAAGAUCAAGUUUCGUGAGUUGUUUUUCUCACCACUGAUCACGCGCUCAACACUCUACACAUACUUGUAUCACUUAUGGCAAGCCAUCAGUGCCAAAAAUCGCCACUUUUCUAACGCGUUUGGUUAAGAAAUGGCGUAAAAAACGCCGUUUAAUUUUUCAAAACGCCGAAAAAAACGGCGUUCUGUUUCGACAAACGCUGUUUUUUCCGACUCUCACAUGGCGCCCUGAACGCACCAUCCGAGUGACGUAAAAAGCGGCGUUCAAAGACACACGGAAACGCCGUUUUUUACGCCACUCGGCAGGAAACGCCGUUCAAAGAUGCAUAAAAACAGCGGUUUUUACGGCGUUCUGUGCCAGCUGUAACGGCGUUUAAAACGGCGUUUUAUUGAAAUUAUGCAGGGCACUCCCCAUGGUUCCCUCAUCCAAUUACUUUCAACUCAUUUCACCCAAUCAAAGAAGAGGAAGUGCAGACCACACUAAUGCAUCACCGAUUCACCUUGCUGCUAAGUGAUUGCUUAUUCGGUACCAGUGCUUGUUACCCACUAUGCAUUUUGAUGUGUUUAAAGCAUGAUCAAACAAGCAAACGACGGAAUGCUUUUACUGUAACAAGACCUUAACUUUGUGGCGCAUGGGUCGCUUGUUUACUUGAGGGAUCAGCUAUUAGCGCUGCGCUACCGCAGUGUAGCAUUAUGAUGCUAACGGAGUCCUGGCUAACACCGCAAACUCCGGACAUGAGUGUGGAGCUGCCGGUUUCCAGAUGCUGCGGGCGGACAGGACGAUAGACAGCGGUGAGAGGAAAGGAGGGGGGCUGGCAGUGUUUGUUAAAGACAGUUGUGGGACCCCUGGGCACAUUGCUGUGAAAGAUCAACUCUGCAACACAGACAUUGAGCUAUUAGCCGUUAGCAUCCGUGGAGGCAGCCUGUGGCACUCUGUGGUCCGCAGACUGCAAACGCAAUCUCCGGGAGCUCUUCUUCUAAUAUCAGGGGACUUUAAUCAUGUCUCGCUGGACUCCACACUGCCCACCUUCACCCAGUAUGUGACCUGCCCCAUCGUAGUCAAUAAAACAUUGUACUUAAUGUAUGCCAAUGGAAAAAGUGGCAUACAGUUCAUCACCUCCCUGCCCAGGGAAGAUCUGAUCAUAACCUAGUGUGCCUUGUCCCUGUGUGCAGCACUUAGUGUGCACGGAGCCACUAAUCACCCACGCAGUGCAGAGAUGCUUCGCGGAGGGCAUAAUCAAGCAAAUAAAUGACAGAAUGCUUUUUAUUUCAUGUCGACGUGCAAUUUAUGUAUAGUUGACCGGGAAAUUAAAGCAGCGAUCACUUGGACUAUUCCGUAGCACCCCUUUCACAGUGGUACAUCCCUCCAGGUAACCAUUCACCAGUCUUGUACAGUAGAGCGGGACAUUACGUUUACUCUCAGCGGAAUUCACCCGAGAAGGCAUCAGUUCCUGCACUGGUCUUCACCACGAUUAGUAUAAGGUGGAGUAAUGCACGAAUGGAUAAAAAGGAGUGAGAGGUUAUCAGCUGUUGAGGAGCAAAUGGAGAUCCGUGUCCAGGGGAGUGAGGCUAUUAUGCGAGUGUGAAAGGUUGUCCAGGAAGUAACUAAGAAGACAUGAACAGAGAGGUGGUGAUCCUCGGUGGAGUGAUGAAGUAGAGCAGCCAGCACCCCGAGUAGAGCAGGCACUGUGGAAAA
Long non-coding RNA from Oreochromis aureus, 1890 nucleotides. RefSeq lists it as uncharacterized. NCBI's taxonomy places the organism in Eukaryota, Metazoa, Chordata, Actinopteri, Cichliformes, Cichlidae. The record is from RefSeq and is a predicted model, not a curated record. The transcript has 3 exons.